AGAAAACAGCAAGCUUUUGGGCUCAGAAAGCUUAGACCAUCAUGGCUACGAAAACUGUACUGCUAGUCAGAAAAAAUGCAAUUCUGGAACUCCUUAGUGAAACAGCAAGGCAAAACAACAUCGGAACAGUUGCCAAGUGAUCUUCUCCACAGUACCCAUGAACUUCAGCCUUGAACUGAAGAGGACUCAUCAAAUGGCUCGGGAGAGAGAUAGCAUGGAAUUGGAAGAGAAGCAUGAAGGGCAGUCAACUGCAGUCUUGGUGUGUGGAGGAAAAGGUCCUGUUCUCGCUGUUGCUACUCCCACAUAGGUGGACUCUGUAACUGAUCGUGUGUGGGUAGGGCCCUAUUGAAAUUAAGGAGAUUCGGCAAUAUUGCAGGGUUCUGUUUUUGAAAAUUCAAUUGCAAGAUCAGGACCCUACUGUGACUGCUUACUGUGAAUACUGUCAGUGUAUCAUUGAUUGUUCUGGAACCUGCCUUGUGGGAUAAUUACCAAAUAAUAUAUUCCUCAAAACUUCUUAAUGGCACUGAGACUUUGUGGAUAGUUGGUCACAUGAUGAGAAAAUUCAGCUGCCCAUCAAGACUACUUCUACCUGAUCUCUCUCCUUCAGUAUCAAGAGGUUGACACUGAUUUUGAUCAACAUAUGAUGCCAGCUUCCAUCAUUCAGUCAUUAAAUUUUCAGACGACACUGGAUACUUUCUCUUCAGCUGCCUCUCAUGCAUUGGUUGACUUCUUCAUAAACAGAACUGCUCACUAUCUUCCUUUAAUAUCUUCUUAAUGUUUUAUGUACUGUGAAGGUUAAAACAACCCACCUAGACAAUAGUUAUAUUGCAGGUAUAUUAAUGCCAACGCUUAUCACAGUAGCACUGCGUCAUUGACUUUGUACUCUGCCAUAAUCUCUCUCUUGUCUCCUAUGUGUAGAAUUCAAGCACGUUGACUUUUUGUUGUGUGUUUAUUCAUGGCCCAAACAAAUGGGAAUUGGUCCAGGGUGAGGCUUCAUAAGAUUUGUGGUAAUGCAAAUAAAUAAUAAUACUGAAUAUCCAUUGGAUACUGUAGUGUAUCUGUUGGAUUCUGCUGUGCCUCCUGUCACAUCAUAUUUAAUACAGAAAGAGGGUAUUACAAAUAGAGGCCUCACAAAAGGCAAAGAGAGGUGAGCUGCAGCCAGCAGAUAAAAUGCUAACCCCAGAGGCCUUCUCAACAGUCAGUCCCAAGUCAGUAGCUACUGGCAUUGUGCCCUGACAGUAUCCCUCCCUUAGCUUCUCCACAGCAGUAAGAGCAGACUCUGCUUCCUCAUGAUAGAAGGAAGUAACAUGAAUAUUUCAGAGUUCUCCAGUGUGUACAAAAAGAAAAAGGACUUUGUAUACUUCCUUAGCAUUCAUCUGUUCCUUAGUGCAUACCCUUCCUGACACAGCAUCUCUUGGCACUGAAAUCUUGAAUGACCACAAGCAGUUGUUCCAGCAGUCCUGUUGGUCAGCCCUUUUUCAAAUGCCAUCUGGUUCUCUGUUGAGAAGGAACCUACGCUAGUUCUGAUUUGGUAUCUAGGUACAUUUUUAUCUCAUAGUGCUCUGUUUUCCUGGUGCCUUGGAGAUAAUGAUUCUUCAGAAGAGUGGUAAGCGUGAAUUGCAUCAGGAAUUUCCCAGGUAUGUUACCCUCUUUCUGGAAGUGGGUCUGUAUUUAUCCCUUUCCUUUUUUUGAAAGUGACACUGAAAUGUCGGUGUAUAGAUGAUACAGAGAUGAUAGAAUGGGCUAUGCAAACAAAUGGCACUAUAUGUGCUAAAGAAAACAUGGUCAAAUAAGUUAAAUUUCAUCAGCAUAUACCACAGAACAUAAUUACGAGUGGCUCUAUACCUGAAUAGGAGAAGUGUAGUAAGAGCUCUGGAGUAGCUGAUAGGAUAGAGACAGUGACUGUGCUGAGCGAGACUAGAUAGGCUAUACAUCCAGAAAGCUUGAUCAUAACUAGAGUUCUCAGUUAUCUACAUAUAGGCUGGAUAAAUUUAACAUUAGGCCAUCAUGCACAGGCUAUAUUUUUAGGUACCAUAAAGAACUACUCUUUGAGCAAACUAGCUUGAGAAUCCGCAGGACGGGAGACAGCCAUAGAUUUAGUCCAGAGUGGUACACAGAACUUGGUUCAAGAAGUAACUGUGGAAGAGUCUUUCAGUAGUGGUAUCUCAUAUCAUACUGAAGUUUGUCAUGCUUGUAGGAGAGAAAAAAACAAAAAGCCCAUUCCAGUACUGUUUAACUUUAAAAAAGGGGAAUUGCGUGGAUAUGAAGAAAUAAUUUAAAUUAAAGUUAAAAGGAUCAGUUAACAAGGUAAACUACUUUGGGGAAACACAGAGACUUUGCUUUCUGAUUCUAACCCAAUAAAACAAGAAUUGUCCAGCACAAUUGAACAGUAGAACGUAGUAGAAACAAAAAGACAUUCUUCAGAAAGUGAAGUUCAAACAAGCAAAACAAAAAAGUGCACAACUUUGGCAAGUGAAAUGUAGACCUAAUAUAUGCUAAUAGGGUUGUGAGGCCAAUGCAUAAUCAGGGGUAAAGAGAAUAUUUAAAGAUGACAAAGCCAUAUCAGGAAAAAAAAAAAAAGAAUUCUUUGCCCUGGCAAAGUUUAUUACAGGAAGGUUAGGGACAUCCCCCCACCAAAGCUGUUUUAAGGAAAAUCUCAAAUCUGAAAUGCCAAUAAAAGACAUUUUAGAACAAAAUGGUGGAAUAAACAUGAACAAAUUGCAGGAUAACAUAUUGUUCACUCAGUAGUCCUAGAGGAAUUCAGAAAGGAAAUUGCUGAACCAAGAACUGGGUUGUAUAAUCUAUCACUUAAAUAAGCCUUGAUAACAGAGGAACAGAAAAUAGCAAAUGUGACACCAAUCUUUAAAAGGGCUCUAGGGAAGAUCUUGGGCUAAUAAGUCUGACUUCCAUGACAGGCAAAAUGAUAGUGAAUGUGAUAAAGGAUAUAUUUACUAGGAGCAUGGAUAGGUAUAAUAGACACCCAUCAUCUUGGCUUUUGUACAGGGAAGUUUUGUCUUGGAGCUUUUGUUAGUUAUUUGAAGAAGUCAACAGAUACAUAGGUAAGGGUGAUGCAAAAGCUUUAAAAAAGGUCCCUCACCAAACACGGUUAACACAAUGAAGUAUUGGGUUACUGAAGAAGAUCUUUUUAUGGAUCAAUAAAUGGUUACAGGGUGAGCAACAGUAUAGCAAUCAAUGGGUAGUUUUAAGGAUGCCAUCUCCUAAAGAUUUGUACUAGCACCUUUGCUGGUCAGCAUGUUUCUAAAUGGCCUGAAAAGGGGCCUAAACAGUGCAAUGAUAAAGCUUUGAUAUCAGUCAAGUCAGACCUAAUGCUGACUCUGAAGAGUCACAGAAGGAUCUCACAGCAGGAACUGUGGUGAGCCAGGAGCCCUGGCUGUCACAGAGGCCAGAUAUCACUGACCCGCUGU
Non-coding RNA from Struthio camelus australis, 3425 nucleotides. Lineage: Eukaryota; Metazoa; Chordata; Aves; Struthioniformes; Struthionidae. The record is from RefSeq and is a predicted model, not a curated record.